CCCCACCGGACGACCACACCCUUUCAUCGAAGACCACACCCUCAUCGACCUCUUCAUCCUCUGGUAUGAGGAUCUGUGCUCUUUUAUAUUUUAUAUUAUGUAUUAUAUAUAUGAAAGAGUUUUUUAUGGCCGAUACACACACUCAUCAUUAUUGCAAAAUCCCGUAACGUUAUAAUUUCUUGAUGAUGUUCUUUAAUUUAAUUUGACUAUAUGUAUUUUCUGGUAUGGUGGAAAAUCAAAAUUAGAAAAGUCUAAUUUUGAUUUUGUAAAAUUGAAGAUUAAAAAUGAAAUUAAUAAUUGGGCUUCUUCUACUACGGCCAGGCAUCUAUUUGACUCAUUUAUUACCAUUUUUUAAUAAUAUAAAACCUAAAUGUUUACUUAAUUAAUCACGGCUAGUAUAAAACCUCAAUCGCGACUAAUUAUGUUAUUUACAGACCGAGGUCAAAGGGAAUAAAUAAUUAGGGUUUUGGUCUUGAAAGAGUUAUUUUAAAUUCGAUAGUGAGUGACCACAAGUAUAUAUAGACAAAAAAAUUGGAAUAUCUUCAACUGGUUACGGGGUUGUAAGUUGGUGGAAUAUUUUAGGAACGAGUACUGACAAUUUCAGGUGCAGGUUCGCUACCCUAACGAGCUCGGAUUAAGAGUGCAGACCCUGGAAAUGAGGAAUUUUGCUUUUUGGUGUAAUAAAAGUUGGAAUAUCGAAACCGGUAAAGCAUGAUUGGGAUAUCUUGCUUUGGAAUUAAUUUUAGCAUUUACUAUCAAAUUACAUAAUAAACGGGUACAUAAAGUGGUUUUCAUGUUUAUAUAGAUGUUUUAUACAGAGUGGUUUUCAUGUUUAUAUAGUUGUUUAUACGGAGUGGUUUUCAUAAUGUCAGGCUUUGUCUUUGAUAAAUUUAUAGUGGUUUUCAACAAUUUUAUAAUGGUU
Molecule: long non-coding RNA, 922 nt
Filed under: Erythranthe guttata (spotted monkey flower)
Lineage: Eukaryota; Viridiplantae; Streptophyta; Magnoliopsida; Lamiales; Phrymaceae
Description: long non-coding RNA (EGUT_LNC000571)
Source: RNAcentral